This is a non-coding RNA of Heterocephalus glaber (naked mole-rat), 1086 nucleotides long. The record is from RefSeq and is a predicted model, not a curated record. NCBI's taxonomy places the organism in Eukaryota, Metazoa, Chordata, Mammalia, Rodentia, Bathyergidae.
GGCGGCGAGAACCCCUGCGCGAGGGGCGGAGCGCGCGGAGCCGGCUCUGCGGAAGGCUGCAUCAUCCCGCGCCGGGACGGUUACGUCCCGCUGCGGGGCCGACCAGGCAGCCGCACUGCCCUCCGCACUGGGGACCGAGGCCAGCGGCCAGGGGCCGGACGCCUGCGCUCGGGGGCCCCGCAGACCCGCGGCCCGCACGCACCCAGCUCUGCCCCCGGCCCGCGCCUCUGGCCGCGCCUCCCGCCUCUCCCGCCCGCUCCGGGAUGGGUUAGGGACGGCGCCUCUGAGCGGGGCGAUGGGCCGCCCUCUGGGCUCCGAGCAGCCCCCCAGGCCUGACCUGCCCGAAGGCCGGUGGAGGUGGAUGUGCGCCUGGGGAGCUCGCACUGGGGGCGCCAGGAGCUCCGCCUGGAUGUGAAGCGCAUGCCCCAGUGCCCCCCAGCGGACUCGGUGGGACCAUGGCUUCCCUGAUGCCCCUCUCGUCAUCUCUCCUCAUAUCUGAGCCCCAGAUAUGAGCUGCUGGUCAGCUGUGACCUGGGCUUCCUGUGAGCAGUGAGUGAGAGGAAUGUGAGGUCACUCACCCCCAAGCCAACUCGGCCACUGUGUCCUUGGACGUCCCAGAAGGCAGCAUCUUCAUUGGCUACUCCGUUUCCCAGCAAACUGCGGUGAUCAACUGGAGUCCUCGAAGAAGCAUCUGGGUAGAGGCGAAGCCCAAGGAGAUUGCCAACUUACACACCGUCACUGCCUUGGCCUGGAAGCGGGCGGGAUGCCUCAGGACUCUGCACAGUACGUCACUCGCAGUCCCUUUCGCCACUGGUGGCUUAGGGGAAAUCCUGCCUCUCUGAAAACACACCCACCUGGCAAUAGGGAAUCCUGCCUUUCCUUUUGAUUCCAAAUUGACAAUGGAGUGAGUGUUAAAUGGAAAUUUAUACUCAGUUGGAGGCCACACAUGAGACAGCUGUACAGGCAGGGCUGACUUCUCCCUCAUUCUCCCAUCCACAUGUGAUGCCCUGGAGUCCUGUGACUGCCACCUCUUUCCUUUCAGUUCUUUCAGAAAUGCCCGCUCUUCUUUAAAUUCUAGAGCCUAGA